RNAcentral lists this ribosomal RNA (497 nucleotides) under uncultured bacterium. RNAcentral describes it as "partial 16S ribosomal RNA". It matches the Rfam family "Bacterial small subunit ribosomal RNA", at positions 28 to 507 of the family's 1533-position model. The record is from RNAcentral.
GAUGAACGCUGGCGGCGUGCCUAAUACAUGCAAGUUGAGCGCUGAAGGUUGGUACUUGUACCGACUGGAUGAGCAGCGAACGGGUGAGUAACGCGUGGGGAAUCUGCCUUUGAGCGGGGGACAACAUUUGGAAACGAAUGCUAAUACCGCAUAAAAACUUUAAACACAAGUUUUAAGUUUGAAAGAUGCAAUUGCAUCACUCAAAGAUGAUCUCGCGUUGUAUUAGCUAGUUGGUGAGGUAAAGGCUCACCAAGGCGAUGAUACAUAGCCGACCUGAGAGGGUGAUCGGCCACAUUGGGACUGAGACACGGCCCAAACUCCUACGGGAGGCAGCAGUAGGGAAUCUUCGGCAAUGGACGAAAGUCUGACCGAGCAACGCCGCGUGAGUGAAGAAGGUUUUCGGAUCGUAAAACUCUGUUGGUAGAGAAGAACGUUGGUGAGAGUGGAAAGCUCAUCAAGUGACGGUAACUACCCAGAAAGGGACGGCUAACUACGUG